UGAACACCGGCCGAGCGAAGCCGCGUUUAGAGUCUCGGACAGCGGCUCGUCUCCGCCUCCUGCACAGGCUGCUUCAGGCAGGAAAAGAUGCCUUCAGUCAUUAGUACAAAACAAAUUACUUCAUGUUGGAUAAGCUUCAGAUGAAAAGUCAUAACUAGGUGAUGUUCUAAGAAACAACCAAGUGUGUUGGUCCAUCGUGACACUGCUGCAGGAGAGGAGGAGAAGUGACUGCUUCCACUCACACCAUCAAUAAUCCAAUCAUAGGAAAGAUGCCCAAAUUCAUUUGAAAUACAUUGU
Molecule: long non-coding RNA, 297 nt
Organism: Micropterus dolomieu (smallmouth bass)
Lineage: Eukaryota; Metazoa; Chordata; Actinopteri; Centrarchiformes; Centrarchidae
Exons: 3
Source: RefSeq, a predicted model, not a curated record